RNAcentral lists this transfer RNA (73 nucleotides) under Bos taurus (domestic cattle). It matches the Rfam family "tRNA". Rfam says of the family: Transfer RNA (tRNA) molecules are approximately 80 nucleotides in length. Their secondary structure includes four short double-helical elements and three loops (D, anti-codon, and T loops). The record is from Rfam by way of RNAcentral. RNAcentral also lists the same sequence under 5 other names. Lineage: Eukaryota; Metazoa; Chordata; Mammalia; Artiodactyla; Bovidae.
UCCCUGGAGGUCAAGUGGUUAAAACUCUGCACUUCUAAAGCAGGGGUCCUGGGAUCAAUUCCUGACAGGGGAA